This 469-nucleotide ribosomal RNA is filed under the name Peripatidae sp. OHL104. Its description in RNAcentral is "partial large subunit ribosomal RNA". It matches the Rfam family "Bacterial large subunit ribosomal RNA", at positions 1809 to 2609 of the family's 2925-position model. Lineage: Eukaryota; Metazoa; Onychophora; Udeonychophora; Euonychophora; Peripatidae. The record is from RNAcentral.
AAAAACAUAGUUAUUUGAAUAUAUAAAUAAUACUUCCUGCUCAAUGAUUUUUUAAAUAGCCGCGGUAUUUAUAACUGUGCAAAGGUAGCAUAAUCAUUUGUUUUAUAAAUUAAGACUUGAAUGAAUGGAAAAAUGAAUUAAAACUUUUUUAUAUUUAAAAGUAUAAUUAAUCUUUCUAGUGAGGAGACUAGAGAAUGAUUGUAAGACAAGAAGACCCUAUUAAGUUUUAUAUAAGUAUUAUAUUGGGGUAAUAAAAGAAAAAUUUUUCUUUAGAAUAUUAGGGUGAUAAUUAUUGAUCUGAUAAUAUAAAUAAUAGAAUAAAUUACUAUAGGGAUAACAGCAUAAUAUUUUUUGAAAGCUCUUAUUGACAAAAAUGUUUAUGACCUCGAUGUUGGAUUAAAAUAAUUGCAUAGGUGAAGAUAUUAUGAUAAUUAGUCUGUUCGACUAUUAAAAUUUUACAUGAUCUGAU